UACGUAGGGUGCGAGCGUUAAUCGGAAUUACUGGGCGUAAAGCGUGCGCAGGCGGUUUUUUAAGACAGGCGUGAAAUCCCCGGGCUUAACCUGGGAACUGCGCUUGUGACUGGAAGGCUAGAGUACGGCAGAGGGGGGUGGAAUUCCACGUGUAGCAGUGAAAUGCGUAGAGAUGUGGAGGAACACCGAUGGCGAAGGCAGCCCCCUGGGCCGAUACUGACGCUCAUGCACGAAAGCGUGGGGAGCAAACAGGAUUAGAUACCCUGGUAGUCCACGCCCUAAACGAUGUCAACUAGUUGUUGGGUGGGUAAAACCAUUUAGUAACGUAGCUAACGCGUGAAGUUGACCGCCUGGGGAGUACGGCCGCAAGGUUAAA
RNAcentral lists this ribosomal RNA (376 nucleotides) under uncultured bacterium. RNAcentral's name for it is "bacterial SSU rRNA". It matches the Rfam family "Bacterial small subunit ribosomal RNA", at positions 524 to 898 of the family's 1533-position model. The record is from RNAcentral.